UUGCAUCUAUUACCUUUGUAUGCAUUGAUGUCUAGAUAUCGUGUACACUCCGAUCUCGCAUCAAAAUAUGUGAAAAAAAAUUAUAUAUAUGUAAGAAAUUAAAUUAUUAACAAUAAUACAUUUGCUAUGAAUUUUUAGGUCAUAAUGCAUGUAGUAAUAUUGAGCCAGUAGUUUAACCUUUGCAUAUAUAUAUGAUUUGAUUUACUCAAAAUUGGGGUUGUUAUAUAUUGGCAUAACCUUACAUGUGUUAAAUUACAUAUUUACAUAUUCUCUUUAUUUCAAAAU
This 285-nucleotide long non-coding RNA is filed under the name Panax ginseng (ginseng). RNAcentral describes it as "long non-coding RNA (PGIN_LNC016378)". Lineage: Eukaryota; Viridiplantae; Streptophyta; Magnoliopsida; Apiales; Araliaceae. The record is from RNAcentral.